This is a long non-coding RNA of Vicia villosa (hairy vetch), 845 nucleotides long. RefSeq lists it as uncharacterized. Lineage: Eukaryota; Viridiplantae; Streptophyta; Magnoliopsida; Fabales; Fabaceae. The transcript has 3 exons. The record is from RefSeq and is a predicted model, not a curated record.
UUCUCUCUUCACAAUUAAUUCUCUCAUUCCCACUUCUCUCUCCUCAAAUCCUAAAUGUCUGUACAAACCCUAAUAAUGCCGCCGCUUUCAUCCACCAUUCUACCUAAAGUGUCAUUCCUUAAUACUACAGUCGCUUUCAUGAGUGAAGAACUUUGUUGAUCCCGGGUCGUACAUGAAUAAGAAGCAGGAUGUGUUUUGGGUUACACAGAGGAGAAGUAGAAAAACUGAUUUCAAGCUUUUCACAGUACUUGAAAAACUUUUAGACAAGACAUUUUCCAAUACUAGAGCAAUUUGUCAGUUGGAGCAUUCAAGGAAGCCUCGCGUCUAGCGAGUGCCACACCACAUCCUUCUCGUGUACUAAGUUGUGGUAUCGCUUGGCAGGGAAUUGGAAUUUUGCUGAAUGGCCUUUUCCGAACACUGACUGGUUCAAUCGUUUCAGUGUAUGUGCUAUAUUAAACUUAUUCUCAUUCAUAGUUUUCAUUUUUUGUGUGAGACAGAAAUUGAUUCUUUUAAUAUCAUGACAAAGAGAAUGUAUGACUUCUAGGAAGCAACUGUGUCGGAAGUCAAAGAGUCAUUCAAGUUUCUGUUGGCUUUAUGAUAUUCUUCUCAAUGUUAGGAGCGAAAGAUCAUGCUUUAACAUUUUUUAAAUUUGUGUUUAAAGACUAGCUGGGAUGAUGAUAGUAUAAAACUUGAUGCAAGAAAUUGUUGGGCAUUCUCAGCAACGGCUGCUGUGGAAGGCAUCAACUGAUGCUAAAAGCUGCAGUUGUCCACCAGUCUGUUUCCGUUGCAACCAAGGUCGGAGAAUAUGCACUAAAACUGUUCAUUGUUGUGUAGACGAGAGAGAU